UACGGAAGGUCCAGGCGUUAUCCGGAUUUAUUGGGUUUAAAGGGAGCGUAGGCCGCCUGGUAAGCGUGUUGUGAAAAAUACCGGCUCAACCGGUAUCCUGCAGCGCGAACUGCCUGGCUUGAGUGUGCGCAACGUUGGCGGAAUUCGUCGUGUAGCGGUGAAAUGCUUAGAUAUGACGAAGAACUCCGAUUGCGAAGGCAGCUGACGGGAGCACAACUGACGCUGAAGCUCGAAAGUGCGGGUAUCGAACAGGAUUAGAUACCCUGGUAGUCCGCACGGUAAACGAUGGAUGCCCGCUGUUUGUCCUGAUGGACAAGCGGCCAAGCGAAAGCGUUAAGCAUCCCACCUGGGGAGUACGCCGGCAACGGUGAA
This 372-nucleotide ribosomal RNA is filed under the name uncultured bacterium. Its description in RNAcentral is "bacterial SSU rRNA". It matches the Rfam family "Bacterial small subunit ribosomal RNA", at positions 524 to 898 of the family's 1533-position model. The record is from RNAcentral.